UGUUCAACGGUAUGUCCAAAAGUGUGAGAUCCACUUUAGUUAUAGGAAUUGCAUAAAUCAUUUAUUAUAUUUGUUUUACAGAAAAUAUACAUGGAUAUGGAAAUGGAGAAAGAAUUACAGAAAGCUGGAAGAUAACACAAACUUCAUGAAGAACAGCUUGUUAAAACAACAACCAAAACCUAUUUACAAGUGGAGACAAGAACGUAAACGAUGACAAUUUCUAUGUUUUAAUACAAGUACAUUAAGCUUUUUUGUGGCUGUUAUAUCAAGAACUUAGCCUAAUUGGAUUCAUGAUGUAUUGAAGCUCUACAAUAUUUCAAGUUGCUUUUGUGGGGGUGAAAUCUUAGAAUGUUACUCAUUCAUCAUUCCAUUCGAGGAAUCACAAGUGGAUGGCUAUUUUAUCAUGAACCAUGUUGUUGAACAUGUUAAAAGUUUCAAUAAAAUGAUCCAAAUGAUCGUUAAUAUAUAAGAAUUGCUUUGUUUUUUCCUUAAAAUAUUUCACAUGACCAUAUGGUGCUUAAUGUAUCAUAGAAAGUACUCAUAAUUCUUUUCCCUAAACAUAAUAGAUCCCUCAGUUAAAUUUAACACCGACCCCACUAUAAAUAAAUAAAGCAUCCAAAAGCUUUACUUUCUCCCUCA
Molecule: long non-coding RNA, 639 nt
Organism: Solanum lycopersicum (tomato)
Lineage: Eukaryota; Viridiplantae; Streptophyta; Magnoliopsida; Solanales; Solanaceae
Source: RefSeq, a predicted model, not a curated record